GAAUCUCCCGCGUUGGCAACAUACACCAAUCCAUUACAUAUCACUCCCAUCAGACAGCAUGACCCAACUGAAGCCAGCUUUGGGUUCCUGAUCCACUGUUUCUUCACCAUGACUAGUGUUAGUGCCUGAACAUAUUCAAGAACGAGGGAAAAAGAGAGGGAGAACGAGAGGCGGUGCCUUACUCUUUAUCUUAGGGAAGAUCUUGUCACCGAUGAAUCUGGAAGCUUCAGGACCUCCGUGGCCAUCGUACACACCAACGAGCGUGCCCUGAAACGCCGGGUCGUUGAAGUUCAACGGUCCUGAUUCAAUAUGGCAUUGAUCCUCCAUCACACCGUUGGCUUGUAUCAUAGCCAUGGAAAAUUCACCAAAGGCAUGAAGGCCAAGAUCCUUAAACCAUGUCAAGCCAUCAACUUUCCCGGUUUUUGAUGUGAGGACUUGGAACUUGAAGAUGAAGGAAGAGGGACUUAUAUAAGGGAGUAGAAAACUCUACGUACAAGCUUAAAGAGGACGAGGCCAAAAGGGUAUGGGUGAAACUACCGAAAAAGUAAUUCGUGGGGUGAGACAAGACAAGAAAGACAGUAAGUUUAAGCAAGUAAAUGGUUGAGAAUUUUGUCAGUCAUACUGGAGGACGUAGGAGAAGAAAUGCAUGUGUAAGUAAGAGAGAAGGAGAUGGAUGUACCUUGAACGUAGGCAAUGGCAAGAGAGCAUGACAUAAGAAGAAGAAGAGACCAUAAAUGUAUGUAUGUACACGAUUAGCUGUCCAAACUUAUAAAACAUGUUUUUUCUUUUGCCGGGUC
Molecule: long non-coding RNA, 797 nt
Organism: Tarenaya hassleriana
Lineage: Eukaryota; Viridiplantae; Streptophyta; Magnoliopsida; Brassicales; Cleomaceae
Exons: 5
Source: RefSeq, a predicted model, not a curated record